This 1109-nucleotide ribosomal RNA is filed under the name feces metagenome. Its description in RNAcentral is "bacterial LSU rRNA". It matches the Rfam family "Bacterial large subunit ribosomal RNA", at positions 1217 to 2337 of the family's 2925-position model. The record is from RNAcentral.
UAGUUCAAGCGGUAGGAGAGCGUCGUAACCGGGCUGAAGUCGUACCGUAAGGAGCGGUGGACUGGUUACGAGUGAGAAUGUUGGCAUCAGUAGCGAGAUGUGGGUGAGAAUCCCACAGGCCGAAAACCUAAGGUUUCCUCAGGAAGGUUCGUCCGCUGAGGGUUAGUCGGGACCUAAGCCGAGGCCGAAAGGCGUAGGUGAUGGACAACUGGUUGAUAUUCCAGUACCACUACCAUCGUUAUUAUCGAUGGCGUGACGCAGGAGGAUAGUGUGUGCUAGCUAUUGGAUGCUAGUCUAAGCGUUUAGGCAGUGAGAGUAGGCAAAUCCGCUCUCAUAAUGCUGAGGCGUGAUGGGGAAGGUUCUACGGAACCGAAGUACAUGAUUCCACGCUGCCAAGAAAAGCGUCUAGAGAGAGAAGUAGUGCCCGUACCGCAAACCGACACAGGUAGGUGAGGAGAGAAUCCUAAGGCCGGCGGAAGAAUUACAGUUAAGGAACUCGGCAAAUUGACCCCGUAAGUUCGCGAGAAGGGGUGCCUACGAGAGUAGGCCGCAGAGAAUAGGCCCAAGCAACUGUUUAGCAAAAACACAGGUCUCUGCUAAAGCGUAAGCUGAUGUAUAGGGGCUGACGCCUGCCCGGUGCUGGAAGGUUAAGGGGAACACUUAGCGCAAGCGAAGGUGUGAACUUAAGCCCCAGUAAACGGCGGCCGUAACUAUAACGGUCCUAAGGUAGCGAAAUUCCUUGUCAGGUAAGUUCUGACCCGCACGAAUGGCGUAAUGACUUGGGCACUGUCUCAACUGUAAAUCCGGCGAAGUUGUAGUGCGAGUGAAGAUGCUCGCUACCCGCGAUUGGACGGAAAGACCCCGUAGAGCUUUACUGUAGCUUAGCAUUGAGUUUUGGUAUUGUCUGUACAGGAUAGGUGGGAGACUAGGAAACCAGGGCGUCAGCCUUGGUGGAGUCAACCUUGGGAUACCACCCUGACAGUACUGAAAUUCUAACUGGCGGCCAUGAAUCUGGUCACAGGACAUUGUUAGGUGGGCAGUUUGACUGGGGCGGUCGCCUCCUAAAAAGUAACGGAGGCGCCCAAAGGUUCCCUCAGAACGGUCGGAAA